GCAGUAGUGGUCCAGUGGUAAGAUUUUUACCUUCUGUGUGGGAGUGAGGGACCUGGGUUCAAUUCCCAGCCAAUGCA
RNAcentral lists this transfer RNA (77 nucleotides) under Loxodonta africana (African savanna elephant). It matches the Rfam family "tRNA". Rfam says of the family: Transfer RNA (tRNA) molecules are approximately 80 nucleotides in length. Their secondary structure includes four short double-helical elements and three loops (D, anti-codon, and T loops). Lineage: Eukaryota; Metazoa; Chordata; Mammalia; Proboscidea; Elephantidae. The record is from Rfam by way of RNAcentral.